CGGGGGAGCAAGCGUUGUUCGGAUUUACUGGGCGUAAAGGGCGCGUAGGCGGCCUCUGCAAGUCGACUGUGAAAUCUCCGGGCUUAACCCGGAACGGUCAGCCGAUACUGCAGGGCUAGAGUGCAGAAGGGGCAACUGGAAUUCUCGGUGUAGCGGUGAAAUGCGUAGAUAUCGAGAGGAACACCUGCGGCGAAGGCGGGUUGCUGGGCUGACACUGACGCUGAGGCGCGAAAGCUAGGGGAGCGAACGGGAUUAGAUACCCCGGUAGUCCUAGCCUUAAACGAUGAAUGCUUGGUGUCUGGGGUUUUAUAGUCCCCGGGUGCCGUCGCUAACGCUUUAAGCAUUCCGCCUGGGGAGUACGGUCGCAAGACUG
This 373-nucleotide ribosomal RNA is filed under the name uncultured organism. Its description in RNAcentral is "bacterial SSU rRNA". It matches the Rfam family "Bacterial small subunit ribosomal RNA", at positions 527 to 896 of the family's 1533-position model. The record is from RNAcentral.